UACAGAGGUCUCAAGCGUUGUUCGGAUUCAUUGGGCGUAAAGGGUGCGUAGGCGGCGCGGUAAGUCGGAUGUGAAAUCUCGGAGCUUAACUUCGAAACUGCAUUCGAUACUGCCUUGCUCGAGGACUGGAGAGGAGAUUGGAAUUCACGGUGUAGCAGUGAAAUGCGUAGAUAUCGUGAGGAAGACCAGUGGCGAAGGCGGAUCUCUGGACAGUUCCUGACACUGAGGCACGAAGGCCAGGGGAGCAAACGGG
This 253-nucleotide ribosomal RNA is filed under the name uncultured bacterium. RNAcentral describes it as "partial 16S ribosomal RNA". It matches the Rfam family "Bacterial small subunit ribosomal RNA", at positions 524 to 776 of the family's 1533-position model. The record is from RNAcentral.